Molecule: unclassified non-coding RNA, 198 nt
Filed under: uncultured Sebacinaceae
Lineage: Eukaryota; Fungi; Basidiomycota; Agaricomycetes; Sebacinales; Sebacinaceae
Description: sequence contains ITS2
Source: RNAcentral
UGUACUCUCACACUUCCGAUCGUUUGGAUCGGGAGCGGUGGACUUGGGUGUUGCUGCUUACCGUGGCUCACCUCAAAUGCAGUAGUGCACCUUUCGGUUGGACAUAGUACGGCGUGAUAAGUGUCUUCGCCGGCACCUCACUGAGGGUGGCCGAUCGGGAGCUCUGUGCUUCCAAUCGUCUUCGGACAAUCACUGACA